UCAUUCUAUCAGAAAUAGAAUCUAUUUCUUCUAUUUUAUCCUUGUAAUUUCUCUGUUCCACAAUAUUCUUUCUCUGGCAGCCUUGGGAUUUGUCUUGACUGAGGCAACUUGUAUGUGCAGUGGAAGGACACUAAGCUGGGUUACAGAGAUCAGAAGAAUGGACCCGUGUCAAGUGCUUUGUCUUCUGACUAAUGAUGAUGGGCUUGAGUCUCCUAGAACUUUCCCCAGCAAAAUACUCUUCUAGUGAUGUGCUGUCACGAGGAUUACAGCAGGACACUUCCACCUUUUUCUGUUUCCAUACAUCUCAGGUCCAGCCUCAUCAUCAGCCUCAGUCUGUAUAUUAGAAUCAACUACCAAAGUGCC
RNAcentral lists this long non-coding RNA (363 nucleotides) under Vulpes vulpes (red fox). RNAcentral's name for it is "lncRNA (ENSVVUG00000011790.1)". Lineage: Eukaryota; Metazoa; Chordata; Mammalia; Carnivora; Canidae. The record is from RNAcentral.